This 235-nucleotide long non-coding RNA is filed under the name Lathyrus oleraceus (garden pea). RNAcentral's name for it is "Pisum sativum (pea) long non-coding RNA (PSAT_LNC026195)". The record is from RNAcentral. Lineage: Eukaryota; Viridiplantae; Streptophyta; Magnoliopsida; Fabales; Fabaceae.
GGUUUUCUUCUUUCCCUUUUCUUUUUUGUUUUUCUUUUUAAUGUGAGAGAGAGGUAGUCAAUGGGAUCUUGUCACGUGUGUGGUUACCACUCUCCCCUUUUAAUUCUCUUUUCCUUUUGUUUGUUUUUUAUCAGCCAGAUAGUCUGAUUUUUUUCAUGUGACGGCCGUUAGAGGAGAGAGAAUCAUGGUGCUAGUUGUCCGUUGGUUUUCGUCUUGGUGGCUUCUUCGCUUUUUU